This 1178-nucleotide long non-coding RNA is filed under the name Vulpes vulpes (red fox). RNAcentral's name for it is "lncRNA (ENSVVUG00000002256.1)". Lineage: Eukaryota; Metazoa; Chordata; Mammalia; Carnivora; Canidae. The record is from RNAcentral.
CCUCUUGGGAUGCUUACCAAGCACAUCUGUGCACAUCAUGAGAUGCAAUAAAAAUUGCAAUGACAAUGCUAGACAAACACCCACACACCCACUGCACAAGACGCUGGGCAGAUCCAGUGCCAUCCUGCUUGGAAGCAGAUACUACGUAACUGGGCUCUGUGCUGCCAUUGUUUUUCAGAUUAUGAGACAAAGAGGAAAUAAAAAUGAGAAUCUCUGAAAUACUCAGGCUACUCUCUUCACUUUAGGGAGGAGAGGGUAGCCAAUACAAAUUUCUCAUCAAGCACCUUCAUAAAACUUAAUCCCGAAGUUUUUCUUUGACAAAACGCACAGGUUGGAUAGCUAUUCUCUCCCCAUUGGUUUUUGAGGUAUGGGCCCAUGUAAACAUGACAAGUAGCCCCCAAUAAGCCAACAUUCAACAGCAGUUCCUCAAAUCUUGCUGCCAGCAGCGUUAGAGUGAUCCAUAUAAUUACAAAUUAGAUCCAUUUACUGGGGUCUGGUUGCCUAUGCAAGAGCUUGCCUUCCAUAUAUAAACAUAAUUGUGAUAAAUCUGGACUCAACAGCCAUGGGGCAUUCUGAAGAUGAUAUCUAGAGGUUGCCAUGACAACUCCCUAGAAUUCCUGCUGUCUUUUCAUGGUAGAGUUCCUAGCUAAAGCCUGGAAGGUAUCUGAAAUAAAUCAUCAAAAGGUGGGACAGCUGGAAUUGGUCCAUGGAAGAAAUCCAAGUAUGCGGUUCAUAAGUCCUGUGGCUUCCAAGAAACUUCCCUUCCUCUUGGUGUACCUGGGAGCUCUCUGCCUGACUCAUCCUCUCACCAGUAUGCUGGGGCCACCUAGAGCAAGGGCAACAACCUCUUGCUGUCCCCUGUGUGUCUUUACAGGCCAAAGGCAAGUGCGUAACCCCUUCUGAGGGAGACCUCUGGACCUGAGCGUUCUCAAGACGCACUAGGUCCGAGGCAUCCUCCAGCAUCCCUUCGAAGGAGAGAUGGAACCUCUUCUCCCUGCUUCACUAAGCAAGAAGGCCACGGGCUAGAACAAGUCGCGGCUGUGACUGCUUUUGCGACCCUGCAUCGCGGCCUCUGUUGGGUGAAGGGGGCAGUACUCAGCUAAGGAUGGAGGAGCAGGUGCAUGUUGUUUCCCUCCCAUCCCCAGUCAUGAAAAUAAACGUUCCAUCUGUCUUUCUCA